RNAcentral lists this unclassified non-coding RNA (195 nucleotides) under plant metagenome. RNAcentral describes it as "partial contains small subunit ribosomal RNA, internal transcribed spacer 1, and 5.8S ribosomal RNA". The record is from RNAcentral.
UCUCCGUUGGCGAACCAGCGGAGGGAUCAUUACCGAGUUUACAACUCCCAAACCCCUGUGAACAUACCAUUUGUUGCCUCGGCGGUGCCUGCUUCGGCAGCCCGCCCGAGGACCCAAACCCUUGAUUUUAUACAGUAUCUUCUGAGUAAAUGAUUAAAUAAAUCAAAACUUUCAACAACGGAUCUCUUGGUUCUG